GGAGUAUGUGGCUUAAUUUGACUCAACGCGGAAAAGCUUAUCUGGUCCGGACGCAGUGAGGAUUGACAGACAGUUUCAGGAGUGGUUCUUGGUAAACAAUUGAGAGAGUUGAAGUUCUUUCAUGAUCUUGUGAGAGGUGGUGCAUGGCCGUUCUUAGUUCGUGUAGUGAUAUGUCUGCCUAAUCGCGUCACGAUAACCUAUUGGUCGACAACCCAAUUAUCACAACUGCAGCAUAACUCCCCUUGGGUGGGCGAGGCUCUGUGUAGGAUAGACCUCUGAACAGUACGCAACGAACGCGAUCGUAAUCCCUUGUUGAGUGGCCAUCCUGUAAGCUGCUGGAUUAGGAACCCAGUGGUAUUAUCUCAGCCACAGAUUUUCUGGUUGUAAUGGGCCAGUUUUGAAACUCGGGGGAACAUCUGUGACUUUCUUUCUUAACGCAGAGGAAGGUUAUGGCAAUA
This 458-nucleotide ribosomal RNA is filed under the name Globigerina bulloides. RNAcentral describes it as "SSU rRNA". It matches the Rfam family "Eukaryotic small subunit ribosomal RNA", at positions 1178 to 1455 of the family's 1831-position model. The record is from RNAcentral. Lineage: Eukaryota; Foraminifera; Rotaliida; Globigerinidae.